This 672-nucleotide ribosomal RNA is filed under the name uncultured prokaryote. Its description in RNAcentral is "bacterial SSU rRNA". It matches the Rfam family "Archaeal small subunit ribosomal RNA", at positions 474 to 1145 of the family's 1478-position model. The record is from RNAcentral.
UACCGGCAGCCCGAGUGAUGGCCGAUAUUAUUGGGCCUAAAGCGUCCGUAGCCGGCCGGACAAGUCCGUUGGGAAAUCGGCGCGCUUAACGCGUCGGCGUCCAGCGGAAACUGUCCGGCUUGGGGCCGGAAGACCUGAGGGGUACGUCCGGGUAGGAGUGAAAUCCCGUAAUCCCGGACGGACCGCCGGUGGCGAAAGCGCCUCAGGAAGACGGACCCGACGGUGAGGGACGAAAGCUAGGGUCUCGAACCGGAUUAGAUACCCGGGUAGUCCUAGCCGUAAACGAUGCUCGCUAGGGNUGUGGCGCAGGCUACGAGCCUGCGCUGUGCCGUAGGGAAGCCGCGAAGCGAGCCGCCUGGGAGGUACGUCUGCAAGGAUGAAACUUAAAGGAAUUGGCGGGGGAGCACUACAACCGGAGGAGCCUGCGGUUUAAUUGGACUCAACGCCGGACAUCUCACCAGCACCGACAGUAGCAGUGACGGUCAGUUUGAUGAGCUUACCUGAGCUACUGAGAGGAGGUGCAUGGCCGCCGUCAGCUCGUACCGUGAGCGUCCUGUUAAGUCAGGCAACGAGCGAGACCCGCACUCCUAGUUGCCAGCAGCAUCUCGCGAUGGCUGGUACACUAGGAGGACUGCCGCUGCCAAAGCGGAGGAAGGAACGGGCAACGGUAGG